Molecule: ribosomal RNA, 406 nt
Filed under: uncultured bacterium
Lineage: Bacteria
Description: partial 16S ribosomal RNA
Rfam family: Bacterial small subunit ribosomal RNA
Source: RNAcentral
AUUGAACGCUGGCGGCAGGCCUAACACAUGAAAGUCGAACGCGUGGCGGACGGGUGAGUAAUGUCUGGGAAACUGCCUGAUUGAGGGGGAUAACUACUGGAAACGGUAGCUAAUACCGCAUACCAUCAGAUGUGCCCAGCUGGGAUUAGCGUGUUGGUGGGGUAACGGCUCACCAAGGCGAAGAUCCAUAGCUGGUCGGAGAGGAUGACCAGCAAACCUGGAACUGAGACACGGUCCAGACUCCUACGUGAGGAAGCAGUGGGGAAUAUGGCACAAUGGGAGCAAGCCUGAUGCAGCCAUGCCGCGUGUAUGAAGAAGGCCGUCGGGUUGUAAAGUACUUUCAGCGGGGAGGCGUUACCCGCAGAAGAAGCACCGGCGAACUCCGUGCCAGCAGCCGCGGUAAUAC